Molecule: ribosomal RNA, 253 nt
Filed under: Agromyces humi
Lineage: Bacteria; Bacillati; Actinomycetota; Actinomycetes; Micrococcales; Microbacteriaceae
Also listed under: 2 other names
Description: partial 16S ribosomal RNA
Rfam family: Bacterial small subunit ribosomal RNA
Source: RNAcentral
UACGUAGGGUCCGAGCGUUGUCCGGAAUUAUUGGGCGUAAAGAGCUCGUAGGCGGUUUGUCGCGUCUGCUGUGAAAUCCCGAGGCUCAACCUCGGGCCUGCAGUGGGUACGGGCAGACUGGAGUGCGGUAGGGGAGAAUGGAAUUCCUGGUGUAGCGGUGGAAUGCGCAGAUAUCAGGAGGAACACCGAUGGCGAAGGCAGUUCUCUGGGCCGUAACUGACGCUGAGGAGCGAAAGCGUGGGGAGCGAACAGG